UCCCUCUUCAUCUUCGCCUUCUCUACUUUCUAAUUGCUUUGUUUUUUUUUCUUUUUUCAAGAUUCUUUUUUUAGGGUUUCUCGAAUUUCUUUACUAUGGUUAAUAUUGCCGCCGAUGAAUCCAUAACAAAUUAGAGUUUCAAGAACCCAAAUCCUCAAAUUGCUAUUUAGUCUGUCGAAAAAUAAGGAUUUGUCUUGCGACCUUAGGUUUUUAUGGCAUUCGAGGGAAGUACCUGAGUUGCUGUCUUCUUUUAUGUUUCUGCUCUCUUGCUUUUCUCCUUCUUUAUUUCUCAAGUUGGGAAAGGGGCAUCGCUUUUGGUUUCUGUACAAAGAGGCCCUGAUGAUUCCUGGACAAGGGUUUUGCUAUGUUUUGUGCGGAAAACAACUAUUUCUUGACGGUGAGGCAAUCUUGGAUGGUCUGCUGCUUUUCUUCUGCAGGCAACUGGUUGCAGCCAUUUUGAUUUUUUAGUUGCAAAUCAAUUGGUGAAUCAGAGCUUCCCUCUUCAUCUUCCCCUGCUCUGCUUUCUACUUACCUGGCUUUUUUUCUUUUUUUUUUUUUUCCAAGAAUCUUUUCUUUAGGGUUUCUUGAGUUUCUUCACUAUGAUUAAUAUUGCUGCCGAAGAAUGCAUAGCCAAUUAGAGUUUCAAGAAUCCAAAUCCACAAAUUGCUAUUUAGUCUGUUGAAAAACAAUGAGUUGUAUUCUUGACCUUAAGUUUUCUUGGCAUUCAUGGGAACUAUUUGAGUUGCCACUGGCAACAAUUGUUUUGAUCUUCUUCUCAUUGUUACUUUCUCCUACAUUCUUUAUUUUCUUUCCUUCUAAGGAAAUUGCGAUAAAUGAGAGCUUGGAAACUCAGAACUCGAAGAAAAAUUCUGGGUUGCUAUACCAAGCUACCAUUACCCACCAGAGAUGGUUUCUCUACACCACUGCAGGAGGUGCACAGAAAUUUCUCUAUAGCUGGUGUAUCCGAAGAGGCUGUGAUGAUUUCUGAAUGGGGAUUUUGCUACAUCAUGAAGUGGAAAACUAUUUUGAGCGGCAAGUCAUGGUCUGCUGCUGUUUGUCAGGAAGCAUAUUGGAGUUGGUUUGAUGUAGUUGCAGAGUGCUCCGAAUUAACAUAAUGCCGGAUAAAAUGAAUGCAUAGGAUUUGGAGGAUAAUGAAAGUUUCAGGAUGAGGAUGGUAUCAAUAAAGAAAGAGAGGCUUCAGGCUAUUCAUUGCAGAUUUUAAGGUGGAUGAGUCAGGCAUAUGGGGCGGUCCGGUCCGAGGGGAAAGCAAGGAAACUUGAGUGAUCGAUAUUUGAUUAAAAGAUAAAUCUGAAAGUAUUUUCAAUGCAAUUUCUCCUUGAGAUAACUGAACCACCAAGGGAAUAUUACAAAAAAUCUUUUCUUGUAAGACCAGUUGUUUUAAGUUUGAGAGUGAAUUGACCUUGAGGAAAGUUGCACAAUUUAAGAUAAAAAACACUUCGACUCCUAAGCAGCAGUAAAAUGCUGCAGAAGUGUGUGAGAGGGAUCUAAUGUUUUUCUAUUUUGUUAUUAUUGUUUAGGAAUCUAGCUGUUUCUAGCAGCUAUAUUUACAACAACUGCAUUUGCAAGAUGUUAGCUGAUUUCUGAACUCCAGGAUUGGGUCCAUAAAAGCCGGGCUGGGAUAGGGUUAUUCUUUGCUCUUGCAUAUUGUCCUAAUUAACUUUUUGCAGCUAGAGAGAUGCCCUAAACCUGCAUCAUGCCAUUAGCGUCUGGUGCCAAACAGCACUAACAUCCCUUGCUACAGCAUCUCUUCAAAGAUUGUGGGAGACUAAGCUUGCAGUGCUUCGGGUAGAAUUGAUUGGACUUUAAUUAGAAAGUUAAUCUGUAGUCUGAUUAGUUUCUCUAUAUAUAGUAGUACUGGCUGACAAAAGAAAUGAAUUGUAGAAGAAGAUAAAGGGCUCAAGCU
This is a non-coding RNA of Elaeis guineensis (African oil palm), 1924 nucleotides long. NCBI's taxonomy places the organism in Eukaryota, Viridiplantae, Streptophyta, Magnoliopsida, Arecales, Arecaceae. The record is from RefSeq and is a predicted model, not a curated record.